Thunnus maccoyii (southern bluefin tuna) is the source of this 4306-nucleotide RNA transcript. It is a transcript of the gene named ring finger protein 207a, with no coding region annotated. Lineage: Eukaryota; Metazoa; Chordata; Actinopteri; Scombriformes; Scombridae. The transcript has 19 exons. The record is from RefSeq and is a predicted model, not a curated record.
UUUGGACACCUGACUGUUGUUUUAAGACAGACUUGAAAAAUUGUGAACCUAUCCUUUAAGUAGAAAUAUUGAAACUGUCAGAACAGAGACCCUGUAUCAAACAAACAGAUAAUAUACUACAUAUUAAACAACUGAGAAAUCUCCAUGGCAACUGAGAAAAAUCACAAGACUUUAUGAUGGUUGGAAGUAAGUGGACCUUCAGACACUAUCAUGUUGUCAAAUGAAUCAAACCAACACUACAUGUAAACCUUUCACUGUAUUAGGAGGAUAUAACACCUCUAUUUUUUUAUCAUAUUGCAAUUAUUUGUUAAGUACAUUAUCAAGUUUAAUUUAUGUACCACUUUUCUAAAAACCAGAGUUUACAAAAGGCCUAGAACGCUUUAAAAAACAAUGUUUUGUAUGACAAGUUGGAAGUAUUCCUCUUAAAGUGUUAUGGAAGAUUUGCAAUCCUGUCAUUUUCACACCAUUCCCUCCACUCACCCUGGCUCGGGGUCCGAGACACAUUGCAAUAUGACAUUAGAGAUAGGACAACUGUAUUUUAAUCUGUGUUGGACAGCAAUAUUGAAUGUCCCUUUUGCACUCUGGCAACACUUGGGGGCGUGCAUGAGGUGUAUGCUGUCAGCUGCCUGGCGGAGGGACCCCGCCGGCCUACUAUUGAAGAGUUUCUGCAUUGUUGUCAUUCCAGCUGGGGGUAGCUGAUAGCAGCACUGAAAGGUAAGACAGUGGCUGUCUGUGCUCUCUGUAGGCUGGCCUGCUGCAUUUACAGUAGGUUUUGUUAGAUGAAUAUAAUGUUGGUCUUGACACUGUCUCUGGUAUUGUUUAUUUGACAUCUGUGGAUUGUUUGUUGUCACUGAUGCUCCGGGUAGUUAUUACAUGCCUGACAAGGUAAGAGAAAAAGUUCACUUUGUUUACUUUGAUUCAUAUCAGUAUUAAAUGAAGUGAUUCAUAUCUGUCAUCUAUCAGCCAGCCUUACGGAGACCAGAGCAUUUGUACUGUAAUCCUUUACUAUAACACAUGCCACAGCUUAUUUGUUUGUGUGCUGACAAUGCGAUGAUGUAACAUUUUAAUAAGUUUUACUCCAGUUAUACACUGACAUGCUCGUCAUUAUUCACACGCUCUGUUUACAGAUGGCAGGAGUAAUCUUCACCAAUUUGGACAACAUAUGCAAUGUGGAUUGUACCAAUGUCCACCCCCUGGUGUGUCACCUGUGCCAUGAGCAGUACCAGUCCCCAUGUCUGUUGGACUGUUACCACAUCUUCUGUGCCCGCUGCUUACGAGGCCGGACCAACGACAGCCGUCUCAACUGCCCCCUCUGUGGAUACCCAUCCAUAGUUAAAGGGAGUAAUGCCCUCCCACCAGAGGACCGUUUGCUGAAGUUCCUGGUCGACAACAAUGCAGAAGCUGAGGAGAUAGUGCAGUGUGCCAACUGUGACCAGGAAAGUAACAAAAAGGACACUGGGGUGAUGUACUACUGUAACACUUGUAGCCAGCCACUGUGUGGCGCCUGCAGGGAGCUGACACACAAGGCCAGAAUGUUUUCCCAUCAUGAGAUCGUAUCCCUGGCCAAACGCACCAAAGCCAAACACAGGAAGUGCUCUCUUCAUGAGGAGCCCUACAUCCUGUUCUCAACAGAGAAUAAGUCGAUGCUUUGCAUCAGGUGCUUCAGAGACAUGCAAGUGGAGAGUCGUACGCACUGCAUUGAUAUCGAAACAGCUUAUGUGCAAGGAUGUGAGAUGUUGGACCAGGCUGUGCUGGUGGUGAAGGAGCUGCAAACUUCAACUCGAGAGGCAAUCGUUCUGCUGAGAGCAAUGAUAGGGGAAGUGUGUCUGAAUGUGGAAGAAGAGGAGAGUGCAAUCUGUACCCUGUUCAACAGUUUGCAGGAAAAACUAGCAGAGAGGAAGAAGAUUCUGCUGAAAGCAGCUCAGAGUCAACAUGAGGAGAAGGAGAAGGCACUAAAGGAACAACUUUCACACCUUACUGCUCUCCUCCCAACCCUCCAGGUACAUCUCGUCACCUGUUCAGCCUUCCUCAGCUCAGCCAACAAGUUUGAGUUUUUGGAUAUGGGCUACCAACUCAUGGAGAGGCUGAAGAGGAUUGUAAAGCUCCCUCAUCGACUGAGACCAGUGCAGAGCAGCAAAAUCAACACAGACUACCGCAGUGAGUUUGCUCGCUGUCUAGAACCCCUACUGCUGCUAGGACAGCGCUGCCCUCCUUCUGUCAUCGGAUCCACAAGUGUUGGAACGAGGCUCCAGUCCCCUCUCUCCAUGUCUUGCCACUCUCCGUCUCUCAGUGAGAUGCCGCUGGGUUCUGUGUUCGGGCGAAGGCCCACGUCUCACCGCAACAUCUGCACCAAGGUCCUCCUGGCUGAGGGGAGGGAGACGCCCUUCACCGAGCACUGCCACAACUAUGAGAACACCUACAGGACUCUCCAGACAGAGGUUCAGAAUCUGAAGGACCAGGUGCAGGAGCUGCACCGAGACCUGACCAAGCACCACUCCAUCAUCAACACAGAUCAAAUGGGCGAGAUCCUGGACAGAUCGCUGCACAUUGACAGCCAGAUAGCUUCCCAGUACUCCACUGUGGAAACUAUGAGAGUCAUGUUUGAAGAGAUGUGGGAUGAGACUUUUCAGAGGGUCACUAACGAGCAGGAGAUCUAUGAGGCCCAGCUUCAUGAUCUGAUGCAGUUGAAGCAGGAGAACUCUUACCUAACCACUAUCGCCAGGCAGAUCAGCCCCUACAUCCUGUCCAUCGCUAAGGUCAAAGAGAGGCUCGAGCCCAGGUUUCAGGAGCCUAAAGAGCACCAUGAUGACCGCACAGAAACAAUGCUGAAAAUCUAUGAAGACAGCACGAUGACCAAAGAAAGUCAAGACAGUGACAACCAGACCUGUGUCACAGACCAAGACAGAGACAAGAACAACCGCACGCUGCUUCUCGAGGCGGGGGAGAGCUCUGUCAAGACCAAUCGGUCAGGCAGGCAGAGGGGCCCCGCGGAGACGUCCAGCCUCAAUGAGAUGCCUUCAUAAACACCUGUCAUUUGAUUUCUGUCCCCCUCUCCCCUCUUUGCCUCUGUGCUACAAUGCCUUAAUUCAACUAUAACAAGCCCAGGAUGUGUGUCUGCUGGAAUUGCUUUUUGCAGUAUCUAUUCUUUGCAUAAAACAUUUUUUGGAGGCUAGGGGCUUAUGAUGGAUGACUGCCCAGGUCCGAUUCCCUAGAAGAUUGUUGAACCGGUGUGACAGCACAGAUGGAACACAGCAAAUGCAAUGAUGUGUGUGUCAUUCUGGUUGUCAGUGUAGGUCACAUGUUGUGUGUGUCAUGUGUAUCAGCCCCAUGCAUCAGCCCCCUUCAAAAUGAGGCAGUCUUUUACAGGAGUCUGCAGUUUCCUGCAGUUUCUACAUCUACAUGCAAAAAGUGCAAAAGCUGGAAUUACAGAGGUGUGUGAAUGUAAAUGGCCUCGCCUUAACCCUGAUCUCCUGAUAGUUUUUCAGACUCCACACUCAUACUCAAUAUGCCAGCCUACCAAGGCACAGUGUACUGCUGUAAGAAAUAUAUUCCUCUUAGUCUGCCCCUCGACUUCAUCACGUCGGUGUCAGCAGCAUGCUUUAAGGAGUUUGCCUUGCAUGAAAAUCAGCAGAUCCCAUGUUGAAACUGACAAGAAGCGGAACGUAGAGGCAUUUACCCUACUGCUGCAAAGGCAGGCUGAUCUGGAGGAGCUGCCAUGUAUCACCAGAAAAAAAUUGAAUUUGAAUUGAUUUCAGGAGAUAGUGUUGCUACGAGUAAAAGCUUUUUUUUGAAGGACUUUUUAUGCUGCUGAGAAAAACAACAUUUUUGAGAAACACACUGGAGUGAUUCAAGGUGAAACCUCCCCACCUGCUACCAGCACACAGACAGGGACGGCCCAAAUUCUUGGCACAGCUACGGAUAAUAAUGAGGACCUAGACUGAUGGCUUCGGCAAACAGAAGGAGAAGGUUAUUUACAUUAUAUAGACGGAGCUAAAGUGGGUUUGUUCAGAGACACCGCUGCACAGAAAAUAUUGGGGUCAUGUUGGCCUUAAGGAACAGUCCUGCUCUGCAGAGGAGUCAGAGGUGCAGAUUCAUUAAAAAUACAUUUGUGACAGCAGAGUAACAAAUGGCUGUGCCUCUGCUCUGGUCCUGUACUCCCUCCCCGUGGUCAUUCAUCAUCUGCACUCAUCGAACCACCACUGUUCAUUAUUCUCUCUCUCUCAGCCUCUACUGUGCUCCCUCACCUAUUGCCUGAGGGGGGGAAAAUAAAACUCAGAAGGUUAUUUCACUCCAAGAAAUAAAAGUU